GACAAUGGAAACACAUGGCUCAAUUCAGCGAAGAAGCACUCUGCAUUUAGAGGUUGUUGUUCGUCUUCACUUUCUAACCGUUCCUUAGUACUUAUAAAAAACUCGUUGAUGCUCUUCUCAGAGGUGGCAAUUCUCUCCCUCAGCUCUUCGUUUAGCUUCUCAAAGGACUUCGCCUUCUCUUGCACCUCUCGAGACUGAAACUGAACCUCUUCGAUUACUCCUCUCAACUGAUCUUUCUCUUGGAUGCUUUCCUCUUGGAUUCUCAUCGCAUCAACGAGUGCUUGCUCCAACGCUGUUAUAUCAAGCUUCAUGCUCUCUAUUUCACACAAGGACUCCAACGUUAAGGACGAGAUGGUCUCCUCCAGUUUCUCCACAGAAAGAGACGAACACUGUAGCUCUGUCUCUUUGCUCCCCAGUUCUUGCAACAGCAACAAAUGCUCGGAUUUAGACAAACACAACUCCUCUCUCAAGAAUUUAACUUCUUCUUCAAAGUCCCCUGAUUCCGCCAAUUUGGAUUCAAGAUUGCGCACAUGUUCGUUGAGGUAACUCACUUCCUUGCUUUUAAAAAUCAGUUGAUCUCGCAAGUAACCUACAAGACAAAGCAUAAUAUACUCUUAAGAGUUAUUAAUGAAUUCAGAAAGAAAGUAAAUUGUUUGGCUCAGGUAGGGAGUUUACCAAUCUCUUUAUAGCAAUUCAACAACUCUAUCUCCAUGGUACGAAGUCUUGCUGUGUCUUCUAGGCGAGAUUCAGAUAAUGACUUUGAGUGGAGUUCCAAUCUCUGUGGUAAAGAGAAGAUAUAUAUAUAUAUGUCUGAAAACACUUUCCCUCAAAUGUGCAUAACAUUAAAUUGAACAAGAAGAAGAAGAAGAGCUUACUCUGACUAGUUCAAUACUAUGAGGUUUCGAUUUUCUCAGCAAGUCCUUCUCUUUCCUUAGCUGCCAUAAAUAAAAAAACAAAAGAAAGAAAGCUCAAAACUUUAUUGAUCAAAGAGUAAGAAGAAGAAGGUAUAACUAACCUCCAUGCGUCUGGAACCAAACUGGAGAAGCUCAUCAGCAGCGUCAAAGGAGAUUUCACUAUCACCUCUGGAACUACACGCCGAGCUGCUGCUACUCCUUCCUGAGAAACUUCCCGAGCUACUCGACAUUUAACAACAAGUAAUCACCACUGCCAAAGGGAGACACUUUCGUCAUUGUUUUUGUGUUCUAAUCCAAAAAUGUUAAAAUCAGAUUAGACUAUAACAAAAACAGCUAAAUUACGUCAACUUCACAGUGAUAAUUAUACUCUUCCAAUUUCAACAAGGAAGAGUAUAUAGAACACUAAAUCGCAGAGCCAAUUCCCCUUUUUUUUUGUUUACAGAAUAAAUCGGUGAGAGCGAAUAUGAGGAUGAUAAGCAUACAGAGAGAGAUGAAACCGUGCACAGAUACAAGCGAGCAGGAAAGGUUUUACCUUUACAGAUAAUAGCGCCGACGACGAAUUUGAUCGGAGAAGGUAACCUUAACCCUCGGAGAUGAUGAUUGUCGAUAUUCGAAUUCGAUGGUAAUUAUUCCCCCAAAACAAAAUUAUUCUGUUUCGGUUGAUGAUGAUGAGCUUUCUCGCUGCUUCCCUUUGUUUUUAAAAAACGAUAAAACGGGUCGAAUCCGGGUCGGGUCGGGUUGGGUCAGGUGGGUCUCCAAGCUUACUUGCCUACCUAUUAGCUUCCUUGAUCGGUCAGAAUAGCAAAAAGAGAAAGUCAAACGUUUCUGAUUUGUUUUGGACUAAAAUAAUACAGUGAUUGGGUCGUCAGUCUUCAACAAACUCCAAAAAAAUAUUCAUUUAUGGCUUUUUAUUACAUUUUAUAUAAUUGAGCUGUUAAUCUAUGUUACUUUCUUUGUUUGAUUCUGAAGUUUUAAAAAUUAAUUAAUGAUCAAAUUGAGCUUGAAUCUAGUCUAAGUUGUUGGUAUAAAUUCAGUUUUCAACUUUAUAAAAGUUCAGCUUCCCCGCAACAUAGUACAAAAGGUGUAUAAAAAUCUUGUAUAUAUAUAACACAAACAAAACCAAAAUGUGUUUCAAGACAGACGAGAGAACACACUUAAGUCACACGCUUAGCACUGUCUCCUUGAUAAAAGGGCAAUAAUCUCUUUGCCAUGUUACAUGUAUAAAUAAUAUAAACACACACACACAUUACACGCCUUCAUAUAUACAUAUGACACACGUACACGCCGUGAUUGUGUAUGUUUUCAUAAGAAUUUCAGCAGAAUCACCACGACAGAGAUUUCUAGAGACAGAGAGUAUUACAACAAUGUUUCUUUACAUGACAGAAACGUUGAUCCUGCAAAAGGAAAAAGAAAAAUUUAUGAUCACUGAAGAACACACAGAAAUUACCAAAUGAUCUAUCUAUAAUUCUGAAUCAACUUACGAAGUAAGGAGAUGUUGAAACAACUGUAUAGAGUAUUCAUUUAUCAACCCCUACAUCGAGUCCUUUAGAGCUGAUCAUCACAUUCGAAUCUAUUUGCUUAUCAAAUUUCUUCUUUCUCCUCUCUUCAAAUUCUUCGUAUCCUUCCAUCUACAUUUACACAUUGUUAUGUUACACGAAAUACUAUUCCAAGUGUGUUCCUUUGAGGUUGUGGAAUAAACAUUGACUUACCAGCUGAAACUCAUCCAUGGAUAUAGGAUUGUUAUGGAGGGAAAGAUUUUGCAGACUCUUACAAUCUCUCAGCAAUCCAUCUGGAAUCUGAAAAAAGAUACCAGUAAAUGUUAAGAGAUUUAACAUUAAAAAGUUUGGAGGGUGAAGAAACAAAUCACAGCUCAAUUGCUCUACCUGCUUCACUUGAUUAUCGUCUAAGCAAAGCGACUUUAACUGCAUCAGAUUGCAGAGUGAUUCAGGGAGCUCUUCAACAACGUUAUCUGCAAGGCUAUCCCGAUUCACGAUUAGGCUUUUGGAUCACAUCAGAAGCGAAAAGGGGACAUUUCAAACUUUCAAUGGAAACAUAAUGUUCUAAAAAAUGAAAACUAGAAAGCAUACCAUUAGCCUGUACGUCUUCUAAAGAAGCACAGCUCCCUAGUGAUUCUGGAAGGGAUUUCAAUCUGUUAUUUGAGACAUUCAACAGCACUAGCUGCAUUUCGAUAAGAGAGAGAGAGAGAGAGCCAAUUUAUUAGAGACAGCUGACUAGAGGUAUGCUCUGGGGGUGGUAAAUGAAGUUAAAACGUACAUUGCGAAGACUACCAAUAGUAUCUGGCAAGUAAAUGAGCAUAUUCCUUGAGAUUGAUAGUUGCUCAAGCCUUAUCAACUGACCCACUGCAAACAAAAAAAAAAGACACAAAAACUUUUAAGACACAGACACACAAAAACAAACAAAGAAGAUGCUAGUAAUAAAGAGAACUCUUCUUACAUUCGUCAGGCAAACAGCUGAUGCGGUUUCCAUCAAGCAUCAAAACUUUGAGAGACUGAAGCUUCCCAAGAUUCCCGGGAAGUCGCUCAAUUAGAUUAUCAGCUAUUAACUGCCAGAAUUUUUACAAAAAUUAACUUGGAUCAUUAACAGUUUGGUUCAAGAAAAUGAUGGGAUAGAGUUCACAACCAAAGCAACUACCAACAAGCAUUCAAUUAAACCGCUAAUACAACUUUUCCAUAGAAAUGACAAAUCUGUAGAUAAUAAUAUACAGAGGCAAGAGUUGUCUCACCAGACGCUGCAUAUUGAUCAACUUGCUGAUCUCUCCAGGAACAUCAGCUGCAUAAACAACAAAGUACCUUCAACAACAACUCUUAACCACAAUCAAAAGAUAAAGACUCUCGAUGAAGAAACAUACAGAUCUUGUUGUGUGUUAGAUCGAGUGUCCGCACUGCUCUCUCCAUGUCAAUCACUACAUCAGGAAAUGUCUGCUCCACAAAAACCAAAUCAGAGUAAGUCACCCACCCAUCAAGACAGAACCAACUAAACCAGUCUAAAAUCCCCAAAACAGAAACCCUAAAAACAAAAUCUUUCAUGAGCAAACUAAUCAAAGUUUGUAACUUUUCGUUUAAAACAAUCAUAGAGAUUGUUGGGAAGAUUUGGGUACCUUGAGUUUGGAGUCGCGGAGGCCAAUAAUGCCGGUGGAUCGCCACCGCUUUACCCGACUAGCCUUUGAACCUCCUCCUGGAUUGCUCGCGCAACACCCCAUUCUUCCCUGUUUCUACUACGCUCUUGAUUUUUGAUUGGAUGCUUAUAAACAGAAUAAUAUUUGUAACGGAAAAAAAAAAUCGAAAACCCAGAAAGUUUCAAAAGGAAUCAAAAUCUCUGAUUACCAAAAAGAGAGAGAUUUGGGUAAAGAAAGUUUGCGAAUUUCUGAGGAUUUGAGGUUUAGGUAAGGGGUCGAGCCAAGGUCUCUGGAAGCCAAUUUUGGGAUACAAAAAUAAAUAAAUAAUAUAAAUUAGAAAAGUAGUUUUCAAAAUUAAAUGAGAGUGGAGAAGGACUCUCGUCAAGUCACUAUCUCAUGUCACCAACCUUUGAAAAACUCCAAGAUUGGUAAAGACGCCGAGACCAAAACAAAAAUUAACACAGACACUUUUAUCGUGGUUCCUCGUUGAUUUAAAUCCCCGAGACUCGUAUUAUCAAAGCACCAUGUUUCAUCGAGUUCAAGUACACUAGUCAAAUCUUCUAAGACCCAAUUUUGUAGAAUCAUAUGUUGUUGUGACAUGUGAGUCUUUGAAAAUCUAAACACUUUAGAGAAAGAGGAUGAAGCUGUGAUCAAACAUAUUGUAAGAAAUAGAGUUUAACCCUCUGUUUUUCACUAACCCCUUCCUCAAGCAACUGUUCUUUUAUUUUGAACCAAUUUGAUAUGAGAGAAAAGCCAAACUGUAUUAUAUUCUGAGGUUUUACGAGUGGGAAACAUUUACAAGAUAAAUAAACUAAUCUAAGAAAAAUAACAGGCUUUAUGAUAUAAUAUAUUUACAUGAUUCUUUCUGAAAAUGAUAAUUUAACAAGCUCUGUAUCAGUUCCAUUCAUGUCAUGACUCAUGACACUACAACACUAUGAGAACUGCCAAAAAAUCUUGGAAACCAGAUUCCAUUUUCUUUGUUUUUUCCUACUUCCACAUAGAACCCGCUUCUGCACUCAAUGGGUUCGAUCUCCAAGACUUGUCUAACAUUCCAUUCGAUAGACAGAGAGACGAGACAUGUAAAUACACAUAUAUUUGAAAACUUCUAUUACACAGUGACUAACCAGUUGAAGCAGAAAUCAAUACUUUCUUCCUUUUAAGUUAACCUUACAGCCAUUUCUUGAAGCAGAGCUCGUUUCUGUGAAGCGUUGAUCACUUGAUUUGUUUCUGCAUUCUCUAGAACAUCUGUGAUUAUAGCCGCUGCGUGACCCAGUGGCUCCUCCGCUGCUCUCUUUAGCAUGAAAGCCUGUUUGCAAGUGAAUGCCAUUGAUAAAACAAACAUCAGUUUAACAAAAAAUGGUUCAAGCUUAAAAAAAAUUAAGAGUCGGUUUUGAUCUAGAAUUCUUGUAGACCUGGCCAUGGUGCGAUAUGGUUAAGGUACAUGGUUGUUGAGACCAAGGUUCUCCAUCGAUUUGCACAGGCAACGGCGCACAAAGUUGUAUCUUCACUGAUUGCCCCUGAGCUAACCUUCUUGCUUGAGACAACCCAACCUGAAAAUGUGAAUAAAAAAACAGUUGAUGUUAGGUUUACAAGAUAUCAUGCAAAUAGAACCUCUAAGAUGAUCAUUAUCGUACCUGGAGUUUUCCAAGGUGCCACGUUCCAGAUAUACUCACGACUUCUACUACCUUGUCGUGGAUAGAUUGCGGAUCAAAGUUUUCAUAUGUUUCAUCUUCAUUCUGCCAUAAAUCCACACCUCCCAUGUAACUUCCGAUGUUUGCAACAAGUACUCCUUCCGCAUCCUUCAAAGAUAUAGCAUAGAGAAGUUACAUCAUUAACUAUUAUUAUGUAAACUAGUUUAAUGUGAUUUACCUCAGGAACCUCGAUGUCAACACCAUCCACCUCAACUCGAACUUGCCAAGGGAAAUCUUCGAAUGUUCGGUCCAUUAUACUCCUUGCACCUUCUCUAGCGUAUAGGACUUUGUUCAUAAACUGCACAUGGAAAGCAUUCAAAUGUCAGUUUCAGCUUCUCUAAAAUAAUGCCAGUUAAAUCAUACGAUUAUUAAAGGUACUAAUGGCAGGAGUCCUGAACUUUAUUGAUCACCUGGCUAUAAAAUCUCUCUGGAUUCUCCUCCCGUAGAUUAUGAAUAUCAAGGGCUACCUUCGCAUCACACCCAACCCCUAUUAAGAUUCACAAUGUAAGCAAGAAAUUUAUAAAUAAUUGAAGAAUAUUACCAAGAGGUUGUGAGUUUAACUGACCUAUAUAAUUGUUCAUAUAUUUUGGCGGCUGGAGUUGUUUUCCUUGUUGAUUCAGAAUCGAUACUUUCCAACGAUCAAGGACAGUGACUGCAGCAUGCUCUAUGUUCUGUAAUACUGUAGAUAAGCCUCCUUGUCUCUCAACAGAACCCAAACCACCACCCCAGUUCUCAUACCCUCCAUUUUAUCGAUCAAAGUUGCAUUCCCGGAAAGUUCUAGUUUCUUGAUGAUUGCAUCGAAACAUUCUCUGUAAAACACAAAACCAACCAACAUUAUUACAAACGAGGAUAACACUAAAUUUUGUCUUUAAGCUGAAACUCACCGAACUUCACUGGACAAUGGAAACACAUGGCUCAAUUCAGCGAAGAAGCACUCUGCAUUUAGAGGUUGUUGUUCGUCUUCACUUUCUAACCGUUCCUUAGUACUUAUAAAAAACUCGUUGAUGCUCUUCUCAGAGGUGGCAAUUCUCUCCCUCAGCUCUUCGUUUAGCUUCUCAAAGGACUUCGCCUUCUCUUGCACCUCUCGAGACUGAAACUGAACCUCUUCGAUUACUCCUCUCAACUGAUCUUUCU
This 6875-nucleotide long non-coding RNA is filed under the name Brassica napus (rape). Its description in RNAcentral is "long non-coding RNA (BNAP_LNC001984)". Lineage: Eukaryota; Viridiplantae; Streptophyta; Magnoliopsida; Brassicales; Brassicaceae. The record is from RNAcentral.